Long non-coding RNA from Pyrus x bretschneideri (Chinese white pear), 145 nucleotides. RefSeq lists it as uncharacterized. The record is from RefSeq and is a predicted model, not a curated record. The transcript is spliced from 2 exons. NCBI's taxonomy places the organism in Eukaryota, Viridiplantae, Streptophyta, Magnoliopsida, Rosales, Rosaceae.
CUUCUUCCUCCUUUUCAUUUUUUCCUCAACUCCUUCCCCGUUUGCUUUGGAUCACCAGUUUGAAGAUCAACAUUCUGAAGAACUCCAAUUCGAGGAGGAAGAGCUUGAAGAGCAAGGACACUGGAAAUCGCAGAUCCAUAAUUUU